AGCGAACGCUGGCGGCAGGCCUAACACAUGCAAGUCGAACGAACCUUUCGGGGUUAGUGGCGGACGGGUGAGUAACACGUGGGAACGUGCCUUUAGGUUCGGAAUAACUCAGGGAAACUUGUGCUAAUACCGAAUGUGCCCUUCGGGGGAAAGAUUUAUCGCCUUUAGAGCGGCCCGCGUCUGAUUAGCUAGUUGGUUGAGGUAAUGGCUCACCAAGGCGACGAUCAGUAGCUGGUCUGAGAGGAUGAUCAGCCACAUUGGGACUGAGACACGGCCCAAACUCCUACGGGAGGCAGCAGUGGGGAAUCUUGCGCAAUGGGCGAAAGCCUGACGCAGCCAUGCUGCGUGAAUGAUGAAGGUCUUAGGAUGGUAAAAUUCUUUCACCGGGGACGAUAAUGACGGUACCCGGAGAAGAAGCCCCGGCUAACUUCGU
RNAcentral lists this ribosomal RNA (433 nucleotides) under uncultured bacterium. Its description in RNAcentral is "partial 16S ribosomal RNA". It matches the Rfam family "Bacterial small subunit ribosomal RNA", at positions 29 to 506 of the family's 1533-position model. The record is from RNAcentral.